CGCCUCUUGAAAAGAAAAUAAGAGGUCCAACCUGCCCAGUGAAAAUUUUCAACGGCCGCGGUAUCCUGACCGUGCUAAGGUAGCGCAAUCACUUGCCCUUUAAUUGGGGGCUAGUAUGAAUGGUCAAACGAGGGUGAAGCUGUCUCCCUCUGGAAACCGAGAAAUUAUCCUACAUGUGAAGAGACAUGUAUACAUUAGGAAGACGAGAAGACCCUGUCAAGCUUCACAGGACUUUUUUUAAUAAACCAGAAAAAUUGCCCUGUUUUGUUGGGGCAACACCGGAACAGAAGCUUCCGGCCACCACUACCCCUCUUAACCUAUAAGAUCCGGCAGGGCCGAACACAGAACAAGCUACUGCAGGGAUAACAGGCUAAUCCGUCUCGAGAGCCCACAUUGACAGACGGGACUGGCACCUCGAUGUUGGCUUAGGGGCCCUGGCCGAGGCAGCACUUGGCCAAAGGAGGUUUGUUCAACCUAUAAUCCCCUA
This 487-nucleotide ribosomal RNA is filed under the name Sipunculus phalloides. Its description in RNAcentral is "partial 16S ribosomal RNA". It matches the Rfam family "Bacterial large subunit ribosomal RNA", at positions 1819 to 2598 of the family's 2925-position model. The record is from RNAcentral. Lineage: Eukaryota; Metazoa; Annelida; Sipuncula; Golfingiida; Sipunculidae.